Molecule: ribosomal RNA, 392 nt
Filed under: Aplanochytrium sp.
Lineage: Eukaryota; Bigyra; Thraustochytrida; Thraustochytriidae
Description: partial small subunit ribosomal RNA
Rfam family: Eukaryotic small subunit ribosomal RNA
Source: RNAcentral
AUUCCAGCUCCAAUAGCGUAUAUUAAAGUUGUUGCAGUUAAAAGGCUCGUAGUUGGAUUUCUGGUAGGAGUGACCGUGCCGAACUUGAUUGUUCGUGUAUUGUGUUGUCUCCAGCCAUCCUCGUGGAGAACUUUUCUAGCAUUAAUUUGUUGGGAUUGGGACCUGCGUCGUUUACUGUGAAAAAAUUAGAGUGUUUAAAGCAGGCAUUAGCUUGAAUACAUUAGCAUGGAAUAAUAAGAUAGGACUUUGGUACUAUUUUGUUGGUUUGCAUACCAAAUUAAUGAUCAACAGGAACAGUUUGAGGAUAUUCGUAUGAACAUGUCAGAGGUGAAAUUCUUGGAUUUUGAUCAGACGAACUACUGCGAAAGCAUUUAUCAAGGAUGUUUUCAUUG